UACGGAGGGUGCAAGCGUUAUCCGGAUUCACUGGGUUUAAAGGGUGCGUAGGCGGGCUGGUAAGUCCGUGGUGAAAUCUCUGAGCUUAACUCAGAAACUGCCAUGGAUACUAUUUGUCUUGAAUAUUGUGGAGGUAAGCGGAAUAUGUCAUGUAGCGGUGAAAUGCUUAGAUAUGACAUAGAACACCAAUUGCGAAGGCAGCUUACUACGCAGUGAUUGACGCUGAGGCACGAAAGCGUGGGGAUCAAACAGG
Molecule: ribosomal RNA, 253 nt
Filed under: uncultured bacterium
Lineage: Bacteria
Description: partial 16S ribosomal RNA
Rfam family: Bacterial small subunit ribosomal RNA
Source: RNAcentral